RNAcentral lists this ribosomal RNA (492 nucleotides) under uncultured bacterium. RNAcentral's name for it is "partial 16S ribosomal RNA". It matches the Rfam family "Bacterial small subunit ribosomal RNA", at positions 29 to 507 of the family's 1533-position model. The record is from RNAcentral.
AGUGAACGCUGGCGGUAGGCCUAACACAUGCAAGUCGAACGGCAGCACAGUAAGAGCUUGCUCUUACGGGUGGCGAGUGGCGGACGGGUGAGGAAUACAUCGGAAUCUACUUUUUCGUGGGGGAUAACGUAGGGAAACUUACGCUAAUACCGCAUACGACCUACGGGUGAAAGCAGGGGAUCUUCGGACCUUGCGCGAUUGAAUGAGCCGAUGUCGGAUUAGCUAGUUGGCGGGGUAAAGGCCCACCAAGGCGACGAUCCGUAGCUGGUCUGAGAGGAUGAUCAGCCACACUGGAACUGAGACACGGUCCAGACUCCUACGGGAGGCAGCAGUGGGGAAUAUUGGACAAUGGGCGCAAGCCUGAUCCAGCCAUGCCGCGUGGGUGAAGAAGGCCUUCGGGUUGUAAAGCCCUUUUGUUGGGAAAGAAAAGCAGCAGGUUAAUACCCGGCUGUUCUGACGGUACCCAAAGAAUAAGCACCGGCUAACUUCGUG